RNAcentral lists this unclassified non-coding RNA (402 nucleotides) under soil metagenome. RNAcentral describes it as "partial contains 5.8S ribosomal RNA, internal transcribed spacer 2, and large subunit ribosomal RNA". The stretch from base 1 to 121 matches the Rfam family "5.8S ribosomal RNA", at positions 35 to 154 of the family's 154-position model. The record is from RNAcentral.
GAUGAAGAACGUAGCGAAAUGCGAUAAGUAAUGUGAAUUGCAGAAUUCAGUGAAUCAUCGAAUCUUUGAACGCACCUUGCGCCCUUUGGCUAUUCCGAAGGGCAUGCCUGUUUGAGUAUCAUGAACACCUCAACUCUCAUGGCCUGCCAUGAUGAGCUUGGACUUUGGGGGUCUUGCCGGCCUAGUGUCGGCUCCUCUCAAACGGAUCAGCUUGCCAGUGUUUGGUGGCGUCACAGGUGUGAUAACUAUCUACGCUUGUGGUCCCCCGCCAUGUAAACUUCAGCGAUGGAGGUUCGCUGGAGCUCACAGAUGUCUCUCCUCGACGAGGACAGCUUUUUGAACGUUUGAUCUCAAAUCAGGUAGGACUACCCGCUGAACUUAAGCAUAUCAAUAAGCGGAGGA